UGGGGAAUAUUGGACAAUGGACCGAGAGUCUGAUCCAGCAAUUCUGUGUGCACGAUGAAGUUUUUCGGAAUGUAAAGUGCUUUCAGUUGGGAAGAAAGAAAUGACGGUACCAACAGAAGAAGUGACGGCUAAAUACGUGCCAGCAGCCGCGGUAAUACGUAUGUCACGAGCGUUAUCCGGAUUUAUUGGGCGUAAAGCGCGUCUAGGUGGUUAUAUAAGUCUGAUGUGAAAAUGCAGGGCUUAACUCUGUAUUGCGUUGGAAACUGUAUAACUAGAGUACUGGAGAGGUAAGCGGAACUACAAGUGUAGAGGUGAAAUUCGUAGAUAUUUGUAGGAAUGCCGAUGGGGAAGCCAGCUUACUGGACAGAUACUGACGCUGAAGCGCGAAAGCGUGGGUAGCAAACAGGAUUAGAUACCCUGGUAGUCCACGCUGUAAACGAUGAUUACUAGGUGUUGGGGGUCGAACCUCAGCGCCCAAGCAAACGCGAUAAGUAAUCCGCCUGGGGAGUACGUACGCAAGUAUG
RNAcentral lists this ribosomal RNA (524 nucleotides) under uncultured bacterium. Its description in RNAcentral is "bacterial SSU rRNA". It matches the Rfam family "Bacterial small subunit ribosomal RNA", at positions 355 to 896 of the family's 1533-position model. The record is from RNAcentral.